This 1424-nucleotide ribosomal RNA is filed under the name Candidatus Woesearchaeota archaeon CG10_big_fil_rev_8_21_14_0_10_34_12. RNAcentral describes it as "bacterial SSU rRNA". It matches the Rfam family "Archaeal small subunit ribosomal RNA". Lineage: Archaea; Nanobdellati; Candidatus Woesearchaeota. The record is from RNAcentral.
UCCAGUUUAUCCUGCUGGCGGCUGCGGCUAUUUGGUUCGUGCUUAGGUAUGCAAGUCUAUCGAAAGAUGGCGAACUGCUCAGUAACACGUAGCUAACCUACCCUUAAGUCAGAAAUACCCUCGGGAAACUGAGGAUAAUGUCUGAUAGGGCAUGAUUACUGGAAUGUAUUAUGCUUGAAACUCGUGCUUAAGGAUGGGGCUGCGGCUGAUUAGGUAGUUGUUGGGGUAAUGGCUCAACAAGCCGAUAAUCAGUAAGGGCUCUUAGCGGAGAUGCCCUGAGAAGGACUCUUAGACACUAGUCCUAGCCCUACGGGGUGCAGCAACUAAGGAUUUUUUGCAAUGCGCGCAAGCGUGACAAAGCGAGCCAAAGUGUUUUCUCAUAUUGAGAAAACUUUUGUUUGCUCUAAAAAGGCAGACGAAUAAGGACUGGGCAAGACCGGUGCCAGCCGCCGCGGUAAUCCCGGCGGUCCAAGUCGCAGCCACAAGUAUUGGGUCUAAAACAUCCGUAGCUUGCUGGAUAAGUUUCUUGUGAAAUCCUAACUCUUAAAGUUAGGGCGUGCAGGAAAUACUAUUCAGCUUGAGACCGGAAGAUGUAAGGAGUAUUGUUGGGGAAGUGGUAAAAUACGUUAAUCUCAACAAGACUAACAACGGCGAAGGCACCUUACAAGGACGGAUCUGACAGUGAGGGAUGAAGGCUAGGGGCGCAAAAUGGAUUAGAUACCCAUGUAGUCCUAGCAGUAAACACUGCACACUAAACAUUGGCUUCUCCUCGAGAGAAGUCAGUGCUGUAGGGAAGCCGAAGAGUGUGCUACCUGGGAAGUAUAGUCGCAAGGCCGAAACUUAAAGGANNNNNNNNNNNNNNNNNNNAACAGGUGACGCGUGCGGUUCAAUUAGAUUCUACACCGUGAACCUCACCAGGACCGACAGCAGAAUGAAGGUCAGUCUAAAGGGCUUACCUGACAGGCUAAGAGGAGUUGCAUGGCCGACGUCAGCCUGUGUCGUGAGAUGACCUGUUAAAUCAGGUAACAGGCGAGACCCACGUGCAUAGUUGCUACGUAAAGAGCACUCUAUGCAGACCGCUCCUGCAAAGGAGAGGAAGGUGUGGGCUACGUUAGGUGAGUACGGCCCGAAUGCCCUGGGCUACACGCGCGCGGCAAUGCUGUAUACAGUGAGAUGCAACUCUGAAAAGAGAAGCUAAUCCCAUAAAGUACAGCUUAGUUCAAAUUGUAGGUUGAAACUUACCUACAUGACGCUGGAAUCUGUAGUAAUCGUUCAUCAUCAGUGAACGGUGAAUAUGUCCCUGCUCCUUGCACUCACCGCCCGUCAAACCAACCGAGUUAUGCUUAGAUGAAGCUGAAGAAGAAUCUUUGUAUGACAAGGUAGGUUAAGUCGUCACAAGGUAUCCGUAGGGGAACCUGCGGAUG